GUCACACGGAUGCUGUGCGUCGAACGUUGCACGAGCCACGGUGAUCGGUGGAUGUGUUAUGCAAAUUCGAUUUGCGCGCGCUCCUAAUUUCCACGCUGCGCCGCGGAACCGAAUUAUAAGCCCGGUAACGAGAUUUACGGCGACGCGCGUGCAAGCCGAAGAACUGUCGCGGACCUUGAGAGCCUGCCACCGGGUCAAUCGACUGUGUAAACAUCACAGAACGAGAUACACAGCGGUCUUCGCUUGAACAGCCUCAGUGGCGAUAACGGAAAAUGAACUAUUUCUCCGGACGCUAGAAUUAUGUCCUAAGUAACUGUUUCGAGCCACGAUGAGCGUGGAAAUAAACAGAUUCGUGCCGAGUGUAGUCGAUUCGUCGUCGUUGGUGGUAACCGAUGAAAAACGGGUUUAGUCCGGACAUCGUUAGCUCGUUUAUUGCCGAUUAAAGUAGACUCGCCGGAGAGGGGAGAGAGAAGUCGCGAGCGAUCGUCGUAUUUGGGAGAUGAUUGCGACGGGGAACGGUAAUUAUAAAUUACGCGCUUCUUAUGUUUUAUUGCGACGGGUUACGGUUCUUCUCUUACCGGCUACGCGCAAUGAAAAUCGCCGAUACAAGCAUUGUCCUCGACAAUACGACUCCUCGCCUGGUCAAGGCCUGGGAACAGUUAACUACAAACACAGGCUUAAGCCUUACUGCGGUAAGUCGGUGGGACGUUCGUGUCUGUGCAAAAUUUACCUGUAUCCAAAUGUUACUUUAUUUAUAUUUCAAAACUGUGGACCUACGUUUAUUUCUUGUAACACAGCGUAGUUAUGAAA
Long non-coding RNA from Ceratina calcarata, 810 nucleotides. RefSeq lists it as uncharacterized. The record is from RefSeq and is a predicted model, not a curated record. The transcript has 3 exons. NCBI's taxonomy places the organism in Eukaryota, Metazoa, Arthropoda, Insecta, Hymenoptera, Apidae.